AACGAACGCUGGCGGCAGGCCUAACACAUGCAAGUCGAGCGCGUAGCAAUACGAGCGGCGCACGGGAUAGUAACGCGUGGGAACCUACCUUUCGGUUCGGAAUAACAUCGGGGAACUGGUGCUAAUACCGGAUACGCCCUUCGGGGGAAAGAUUUAUUGCCGAUAGAUGGGCCCGCGUUAGAUUAGCUAGUUGGUGAGGUAACGGCUCACCAAGGCAACGAUCCAUAGCUGGUCUGAGAGGAUGAUCAGCAUCACUGGGACUGAGACACGGCCCAGACUCCUACGGGAGGCAGCAGUGGGGAAUAUUGGACAAUGGGGGCAACCCUGAUCCAGCCAUGCCGCGUGAAUGAUGAAGGCCUUCGGGUUGUAAAGUUCUUUUGGUGGGGACGAUGAUGACGGUACCCACAGAAUAAGCUCCGGCUAACUUCGUGCCAGCCGCCGCAGUAA
RNAcentral lists this ribosomal RNA (447 nucleotides) under uncultured bacterium. RNAcentral's name for it is "partial 16S ribosomal RNA". It matches the Rfam family "Bacterial small subunit ribosomal RNA", at positions 29 to 523 of the family's 1533-position model. The record is from RNAcentral.